RNAcentral lists this ribosomal RNA (423 nucleotides) under Phlyctema vagabunda. RNAcentral's name for it is "eukaryotic LSU rRNA". The stretch from base 116 to 269 matches the Rfam family "5.8S ribosomal RNA". The record is from RNAcentral. Lineage: Eukaryota; Fungi; Ascomycota; Leotiomycetes; Helotiales; Dermateaceae.
ACACCUUUGUUGCUUUGGCGGGCCCGCCUCGGCCACCGGCUCCGGCUGGUGAGCGCCCGCCAGAGGACCCCAAACUCUGAAAUUUAGUGUCGUCUGAGUACUAUAUAAUAGUUAAAACUUUCAACAACGGAUCUCUUGGUUCUGGCAUCGAUGAAGAACGCAGCGAAAUGCGAUAAGUAAUGUGAAUUGCAGAAUUCAGUGAAUCAUCGAAUCUUUGAACGCACAUUGCGCCCCUUGGUAUUCCGGGGGGCAUGCCUGUUCGAGCGUCAUUACAACCCUCAAGCUCUGCUUGGUAUUGGGCGUCCCCGGCGACGGGGUGCCCUAAAAUCAGUGGCGGUGCCGUCUGGCUCUAAGCGUAGUAAAUCUCUCGCUCUGGAUGCCCGGUGGAUGCUCCCAGAACCCCCCAUUUUUACAGGUUGACCU